This 549-nucleotide ribosomal RNA is filed under the name uncultured bacterium. RNAcentral's name for it is "bacterial SSU rRNA". It matches the Rfam family "Bacterial small subunit ribosomal RNA", at positions 356 to 896 of the family's 1533-position model. The record is from RNAcentral.
GGGGAAUCUUCCGCAAUGGACGAAAGUCUGACGGAGCAACGCCGCGUGAGUGAUGACGGCCUUCGGGUUGUAAAGCUCUGUUAAUCGGGACGAAAGGCCUUCUUGCGAAUAGUGAGAAGGAUUGACGGUACCGGAAUAGAAAGCCACGGCUAACUACGUGCCAGCAGCCGCGGUAAUACGUAGGUGGCAAGCGUUGUCCGGAAUUAUUGGGCGUAAAGCGCGCGCAGGCGGAUCAGUCAGUCUGUCUUAAAAGUUCGGGGCUUAACCCCGUGAUGGGAUGGAAACUGCUGAUCUAGAGUAUCGGAGAGGAAAGUGGAAUUCCUAGUGUAGCGGUGAAAUGCGUAGAUGUUAGGAAGAACACCAGUGGCGAAGGCGACUUUCUGGACGAAAACUGACGCUGAGGCGCGAAAGCCAGGGGAGCGAACGGGAUUAGAUACCCCGGUAGUCCUGGCCGUAAACGAUGGGUACUAGGUGUAGGAGGUAUCGACCCCUUCUGUGCCGGAGUUAACGCAAUAAGUACCCCGCCUGGGGAGUACGACCGCAAGGUUG